UUGUGAUCAUCCAUCUUCCUCUUGAUUAUUUUUCAGAGGUUUUUAUUUUUGGUAAAAUCAAAGAAAAUCAUCAUUUUUAAGUGCUCUUUUAUUUUGUUCCAGAGCUGUAUACAUUUUUACUUAUGUAUUUAACAUUUAUAUUGUUUUCCAGAUCAAUAUGACCAAUUUUUGGGCAAAAGUGCUGCAAGAUGCCAGACAGGACCCGUGUGCCUUGAAUGCCAUAUUAAAAUAUAUAGUAUGUAAUAUAUUAAAAUAUAUUAAAAUGUUUUUUUUUUUGUGAAUUGGCAUGACAAAACUGUAAGCACACAUAUUAAUAUAUUUAUUAGUGUGUUUAUUAACACCGUGUGCUUCUUUGGAAAACUGCCUGUGAUUAUUAGUUUGACUCAACCAGACUAAACCAAUUUUACAGCAUUCUGACUGUAGAGGGAGCCCAGAAGCAAGAAAUAAUUCUGAAAUAAUUCUGCUGCAGGAGGAAUAAAGCUCAUGCAUCUUGGGUUUUCUUCUUUCUGGUAUUUUCAUGCACUUAACACAGAUUGAGGCCUGUUGUUAAUCAGAAUGGACAUUUAUCAGCCAAUCAAAGAGCAGCUUACCCCCGCCCACUGCACUGGACAAAAUUAAAAUCAAGUAAUUUGUGAGAUAGUAUGAAUUAAAUAUAUGAUUGUGCUGAUUUGUGAAACAUAUGAGUAAAAUAACUGUUUUAGUAAUAAUUUUAUUUAUUUUAUCUAUUUUUGAGUGCAUUACAGACAGAAAACAGCAUUCUAUUCAAUUCUUCCAUCCAUCCAUCCAAUCAUCCAUCCAUCCAUUAUCUUCCUGUAGCAGUAUGAAACAGUACUCACCGCUCUCUGGCUUUAUCUGUAAUUUCUCUAAAGAAAAGACUUCUCCUUUUAAUAGUUAUUUUAAGAGUUUUCUGUGUUUCUGUGUCUUUUUCUAGUUAUUAUGAUGAUAAAAGUGUGAAUGUGCUGUGUGUAAGUGUGUAAAUGCUGCUGUUCCAGCACUGAUGUACUACAGAUAAAUAAAUAAUAAUUUCCAAAGCUUGGUUUAAACA
Molecule: long non-coding RNA, 1045 nt
Filed under: Astyanax mexicanus (Mexican tetra)
Lineage: Eukaryota; Metazoa; Chordata; Actinopteri; Characiformes; Acestrorhamphidae
Description: lncRNA (ENSAMXG00005013477.1)
Source: RNAcentral